UGGAGUUCAGACGUGUGCUCUUCCGAUCUUUGGCAUCGUCAGGCGACGAAGGACGUGAUAAGCUGCGAUAAGCCUCGGUUAGCGGCAAAUACGCUUUAACCCGGGGAUUUCCGAAUGGGGCAACCCAGCGCAGGUAAUACUGCGUUACUCCUUCCUGAAUAUAUAGGGAAGGUAGAGCGAUACCCGCUGAAGUGAAACAUCUCAGUAAGCGGAGGAAAAGAAAGAGAAUCGAUUCCGUAAGUAGCGGCGAGCGAAAGCGGAUCAGCCCAAACCUGGUCGAUUUAUCGACUGGGGGUUGUAGGGCCAGGCUGUGGAGACGUUAUUGAUAGUAAAAGGUUCUGGAAAGUUCCGCCAUAGAAGGUGACAGCCCUGUAUGCGAAAUCAAUAAUCAUCCUACUGGUACCCUGAGUAGCACCGGACACGUGAAACCCGGUGUGAAUCUGCGCAGACCAUUGCGUAAGGCUAAAUACUCGACGAUGACCGAUAGUGAACUAGUACCGUGAGGGAAAGGUGAAAAGUACCCCUGUUAGGGGAGUGAAAUAGAAACUGAAACCAAUAGCAGACAAGUCAGUGGGAGCUUCCUUGUGGAGUGACCGCCUGCCUUUUGCAUAAUGAGCCUGUGAGUUUAUGUCCGUAGCAAGCCUAAGCAUCUUCGAUGCGGAGGCGCAGCGAAAGCGAGUCUGAAUAGGGCUACUGAGUUGCUGGCAUAAGACCCGAAGCGGAGGUGAUCUAACCAUGGCCAGGUUGAAGCUUCAGUAAAAUGAAGUGGAGGACCGAACGGGUACAGCUUGAGAACUGUUCCGAUGAGCUGUGGUUUGGAGCGAAAGACUAAUCAAACCCCGUGAUAGCUGGUUCUUUCCGAAAUAUAUUUAGGUAUAGCGUCGCGUGCUGACUCUAGGAGGUAGAGCACUGAAUGGGCUAGGGGCCAUACCCGGUUACCAACCCCAAUCAAACUCCGAAUGCCUAGGGGUGAAGCGCGGCAGUCAGACUGCGGGUGAUAACGUCCGUAGUCGAGAGGGCAACAACCCAGACCAUCGAAUAAGGUCCCUAAACGUGUCUCAGUGGAGAAGGAUGUGGAUUUACACAGACAAUGAGGAUGUUGGCUUAGAGGCAGCCACCAUUUAAACAGUGCGUAAUAGCUGACUCAUCGAGUGAAUCUGCGCCGAAAAUGAUCGGGACUUAAGACACGUACCGAAUUCAUGGGUGCACUAUUUAUAGUGUGCAGUAGGAAAGCGUUCCAAGCGGAGCGAAGGGGAAGCGGCAAGCAACCCUGGACUGCUUGGAAGUGAGAAUGCAGGCAUGAGUAACGAUAAAACAGGUUAAAAUCCUGUUCGCCGUAAGGAUAAGGUUUCCUGGGGAAGGUUCGUCCGCCCAGGGUUAGUCGGGAGCUAAGGCGAGGCCGUAAGGAGUAGUCGAUGCACAAGAGGUUAAUAUUCCUCUACCGGCAUGAAGGUGUUUGAUCUUCGGAGUGACGGAGAAGGUUAAUCUGGCUGUCUGUUGAAUGUGGCAGUCUAAGCACGUAGGUUGAGAGCAUAGGUAAAUCCGGCUCUCUUUAAGCUGAAAUGUGGGGACCUCAAAGCUACGGCUGCGAGGGAUCAGAUGAUACCAAGCUUCAAGUAAAAGCUUCGUUGUUAGCCCAAUGUCGCCCGUACCGCAAACCGACACAGGUAUCCGGGUUGAGUAUACUAAGGCGCGUGAGUUAAAUCUCUCUAAGGAACUCGGCAAAUUUGCCCCGUAUCUUCGGUAGAAGGGGUGCCUACUUCGGUAGGUCGCAGUUAAGAGGUUCAACCGACUGUUUAGCAAAAACACAGCUCUCUGCUAAGUCGCAAGACGAUGUAUAGGGAGUGACACGUGACCAAUGCAGAAAGGUGAAAAUCUGAGGUGAGAGCUUCGGAUCUAAGCCCCUGUGAAUGUCGGCCGUAACUAUAACGGUCCUAAGGUAGCGAAAUUCCUUGUCGGGU
This 1961-nucleotide ribosomal RNA is filed under the name seawater metagenome. RNAcentral describes it as "bacterial LSU rRNA". It matches the Rfam family "Bacterial large subunit ribosomal RNA", at positions 1 to 1977 of the family's 2925-position model. The record is from RNAcentral.